This 467-nucleotide ribosomal RNA is filed under the name uncultured bacterium. RNAcentral's name for it is "partial 16S ribosomal RNA". It matches the Rfam family "Bacterial small subunit ribosomal RNA", at positions 28 to 507 of the family's 1533-position model. The record is from RNAcentral.
GACGAACGCUGGCGGCGUGCUUAACACAUGCCAGUCGAACGGAAAGGCCCUGCUUUUGUGGGGUGCUCGAGUGGCGAACGGGUGAGUAACACGUGAGUAACCUGCCCUUGACUUUGGGAUAACUUCAGGAAACUGGGGCUAAUACCGGAUAGGAGCUCCUGCUGCAUGGUGGGGGUUGGAAAGUUUCGGCGGUUGGGAUGGACUCGCGGCUUAUCAGCUUGUUGGUGGGGUAGUGGCUUACCAAGGCUUUGACGGGUAGCCGGCCUGAGAGGGUGACCGGCCACAUUGGGACUGAGAUACGGCCCAGACUCCUACGGGAGGCAGCAGUGGGGAAUAUUGCACAAUGGGCGGAAGCCUGAUGCAGCAACGCCGCGUGCGGGAUGACGGCCUUCGGGUUGUAAACCGCUUUCGCCUGUGACGAAGCGUGAGUGACGGUAAUGGGUAAAGAAGCACCGGCUAACUACGUG